UUAUUGAAACAAAUAGAAGUGAGGAAUCUCAGAGUCAUGUUCACAGGUUGCAUUUCCAAGGCCCAAAUACUUUUAGUGAACCUUGGCAUUUAUUUCACUGUCCUCCAGAGCAAGUAAAAAGUAUGUAUAUGAAGAUGCCUUCAAUAGAUUUGUGGAUGAGAUUAAUAGUUUAUCUACUUAUCACUAGUGAAACUACAACAACUUCGAGAAUUUGUUCGAUCAGAGUAUGACCAUGCUUGCUUGCGUUCACUAC
Non-coding RNA from Lupinus albus (white lupine), 253 nucleotides. Lineage: Eukaryota; Viridiplantae; Streptophyta; Magnoliopsida; Fabales; Fabaceae. The record is from the annotation of a GenBank genome assembly.